Long non-coding RNA from Catharus ustulatus (Swainson's thrush), 4649 nucleotides. RefSeq lists it as uncharacterized. NCBI's taxonomy places the organism in Eukaryota, Metazoa, Chordata, Aves, Passeriformes, Turdidae. The record is from RefSeq and is a predicted model, not a curated record. The transcript has 6 exons.
CCACUGUGUGCAUGAUGUCUUGCAGUAUCUUACGAAUUUGGUUCUCUUAAAGCAGUGUGCAUUUUGUGUGUGGCAGCUGCUUGUACUAACAAAACCAGCUUUAAAACUGGAGUCACCAAGCCCCACAUUCUGAAGAGGCAGCAAGGGAAACAGGUAGAGGAAAGGUUUGGCUGCAGGUGCUCGCCUCUCCCAAUUGCUGCCUUCCUCAAGCCUCUCCAGCAAAAAUGUUUCUGGGAAAGCUUUACUCCAUGAAGCCUCCUGGCAAAACCUGGAUGAUUUCUCACUCAGGCUGAAAGCCUUUGACCUCUGCUUAUACCCUCCUGCCUCAUUUAUUGAGAACAUCCACAACGAAGACCAGCCUGCAGACAGCAACAUGGGAGAAAGACAACCAUCCAGUGAAAAAAGUCCUAUGAGAGCUAAGGAACUUCCUCUAUAAUGUGGUUUCACUCAAUAAGGAUGUUAGCAUGGACCUCAGUCAAAUCUGAUAUGUAUGUCCCCUGCUCAAGGCACUUACAGACAUUCUUAGGAGUGACAAAAAGCCUUGGUAAUGAUACUGCUUGAGUUGAAAGCAGAUUGAUCAGUUAGGUAAAUGAACCAUCUGGAACUGAGCACAGAAGGAUGAAAAGCUUCUCUGAAGAGGAUGUGUAAGUUCCAACAUGGAACUCAGCUUGGCCUGAGGAGUCCUGUGAGGAUAGCAGGAGGUGAGGCAGAGAUGUGGUGGAUAAGUGUGAGAGACAUUGAUAAAUGUUUUCCAGGUUUGACAAAGUGAGCAGAUGUGUUGUUUUCUGCCCAAGAAGGAUGCCGUGGGGCAGAGUCUUUACCCAAGUAAUGUGCUCAGCCAGUUGACCUAAGAAAUGUCAAUUUGCUUUAGAAAGACUAUUUUACUUUGAAAACACUACUUCUGGCUGCCUUUGCUCUCCAUGAAGAGCUAAGUCCUCAUUUCAGAGCAGCUCUAGGCAGCUCUGUGAGGGCAAGCAAGGGGCAGGGGGAUCCAGGAGCAGGCUUUACACAUGGUACAGCUCCAAAAACCCACCCACGCUACUUAGCAAAUUCCAGCUGCAUCUAAAUUAACAAGAACUCCUGAGUCCCUGCCUCAAGUCUCUCAAGAUACCAGGGACCUGCUCAAAGUAUAAAAUGACUCCUCUGCACAACAAAUACAGAGGCAACCUCCAUGAGGCCAAGCAGGACGGGGAUGGAUGCAAACCUGCCCCUUAGUCCUGAACACAUCUGGGAAUGCAGCUGCGGUGUUUGCUGUACUGCAGGCAGUUUGAAGGGGCUCUCAACUAACCCUGCCAAAAAUACAGGCUCAUAUAUCCCAUAUUGAUCAGCCAUCCCUUUUUCUUCCUCUACAAAAGUCUGUUUAACCAGUUAGUUACUUCCUUGGCAGCAUUGCCAAUCCUGACAAUGGCUUGGGAGGAAGCCCUGGGACUACCAUCUACAUCACAGUUCAUCACAGUUCCCUCAUUUCUCCUCACCAAACAAAUGUUCUUUCCUGAAGCCUUUCUGUUGCUUUUUGGUUUGAUUUUCCAAUAGUUCCCCCUUCUUUGUUGCUCUGAACUCAUCUAUUCAAAGACAGAAUCCCCAAAGAGUAAUUAUGGAAAAGGGAACAUGGACCUACACUCACAGCAGCACAGUCAUAAAAUAGUUCAGUCCCAGUUCCAUAAGCACUGCACAGUCUAUUUUGAACAGUCUCCCGAAAAUUUUGUGAGUUUUACAAGGUAACAUAAGGUUAGGCAGGCCUUUAGUAGAUCACAGUGAGUAGCAGCAAGUAGUUGCUGACUGACAGAAAAGGCUGCAUGUCUUCAGCACUAAUGUGUGGACGCUACAGAACACUUCUCUUUUAAACAAGAAAUACUGGUUAAAGAAAGUCAAACAGUGUUUAGAAAGAGCUGGAAAACUUAUUAGGGGAUUUUAUUUCAAUUCUUUGCAUAUUAUAGACGUGCAUUUUUCUGUGCUGCCUACCUGCUGUUUGGGGUUCCAGCUGCUCCCCCUGGACCAGCCACUUCUUUCAUCAUAGCUUCACGGUGCGUAUUAUACAGGAUAAUCUGACUGCAUUGGCUUAACUCAGAUACCCACCUCCAUCAAAAUCCAUGGCAAAACUACACACAUCUUCCCUUGUGUUACCCUGUAAGCAAUUUCAAAACAUAAGGAGGUAAAUUCAUUCCUUUAACUCAAUUUCCACUUUCUCUCUCUUUAGUAAGGGCAUGCAUGCUGUUAAUAAUGUUUUCUUAGUCCUCUACCAGGACUUGGCCCUUUUUUUUCCUUUAAAGCAGAAAAAAAAAUAAUACUAUUGGAGUUGGUUUCAUUUCACUUCCAGGAAAGUGAAGCAUGCUGUAGGAAAUAUAUGCAGUUGUGCAGCUGGAGCUCCUACACACACAGACCAUUUGUCCUGGGAACUGAAACACUUUUUCCAUGUGUUGGGUGACAAAACACAUUAGUAUGUUCCUUAUAUAGAAACACCACAUACCACUGUGUUUUAAGCAUAAUUGGGUACGAAUGUUGUAACAUGAGCUCCAGAAUGUUGGACUCAGAUGAGUGAGCAUUAAUCAUUCCCAAAGAAAGGACUGAGAUGAGAUUUGGCUUCUGUGUGUUAUGUUCUAGUGGAUAUGUAGCAGGCAGCUUGUAUUUGCUUUGGGAAGUUUGGCAUACUCCAUUGCAAGUGAUUUGAUAGAGAAACACAUGUAUCCUGCAUAAACAUCAAAGAAAUGUGUAUUUAAUGAGAGCAAAGCUGCAUGUGCACAUACAGAUAGGAAAAAAGGAGGAAAAAAGAGGCAGCACUGCAACUGUAACUCACAAUCACACUGCAGGUGAACCCUGAGACUGAUAAGCUCACCUGCAGUCAUCUUCACCCCUAAAUUCACAUGCCUAAAUCCCCUCACCUACUGGGGAAACAAGAGAAAUGUCUCCUAUUUUAUAGGGCACUGAAUAUGGGUACCACUUGACAAAAAGAUGUCCUGUGCUCCCAUACAAAAUUUGUGUAAUGAUGAUCAGAGAUUUACAGAUCAGAGAUAGAAGACUUGGAGGUAGACCUUUAUGCUUGGAUUGUGAUUUUUUUUUCUUUUUUGAGCUCUGGAAAGCCCUUUAAAAAAAUGAAGCACUUAUUUCCCAAUACUUCUAAUCGCACUGAAAACCUAACAGCUUUAGUUUCUUAUGCCAAAUCCUGUAGAUGGCUCUGGAGGCAGCCUUGUUUAAAUUCCGGGUAACAGAAUUACCAGAAUGUGGAGCUGGUCUCUGAGCAGGUAAAGAGAUGCUGGAAAUUACUUGUGCCAGGAAAUUGUCACUUAUAAAGCUUGACCUGUCCUGUGUGAAAUGAUGAGGCUUGUGAAAGCUAAAUUGGUCUUCAAGGAACAGCACUAAUAUCAGUCCAUCAUUCCAACUCUGCAAUAACCAGUCGUGGAAGACUUAGUACCUUAAUAGUUUGUUUAUGGGUCAACCUGGGCCUCCUGUGUCCUGCACACAUGGCCUCAGUCUGCAAUCUUGCAAGGAAACAUCUCAGUCUGUUCAGUUUGCUUUUCUUAUCUAUAAAAGAGGUUUCUGGAGAAGCUUUAAAAAAACACAGCAGCAGGAGAAAGAGGCAGAAUUAUUUUCAGAGUUGCCUUUCUAGAAAGCUCUCCCUGUUGCCUGCACUCAUGCUUUGACAGCAAAACUGCUCUGGAAUCACUGAUGUAUUCUUGUCUUUUGUGAGGUGUCGGGGAAUCUGGGCAUAAAAUCCAGGGCACAGUUGUGCAUUAAGCAACACCAUUUUCACCUCUCUCUAGCUCUCUGUACUGCAGCAGAUUAUUUCUUCAUCAUUGCUUUAAGUUAAAGGAGAAACUCCAUAAUUAUUUCUCUUGACCUUCGGGCUUAAAAUAUUUUUUAACAGCUAUUGCUAUAUAUGCUUCACUUUUCUGGUUUGUUCCCUUUCUCCCAAUUAUUUUGAAGAGAUUUGCCAUGUCCACGUUCACUUUAUAUUUCCGGCAUUUUGGAAUUUCAAACUUGAAAAUAUGUCUCAAAUACCAGCAUGAGUUUCAGAUAAUUAAAUCAUUAACUUUAAAGAAAAAGCCUAAGCUGUCUAUCAGCAGUAAUGUUGACUAUGCAUAGAGCUUGUUAUCAAGGAAAGGAAUUUUUUUUUUAAUUCAGGAAAUAAUCAGAAUGGCAUUUAUUAAAAAGAUAAGAAAAGGGAUUAACAAAAUGUAGUUGUUGGAGCAUUCUGAGUACAGUGAUGGACCAGUUUAAUGUUUUCAGUGUCCUGAUCAAGAAUAAUGUAAAAUGUUUAGGGGGUAAAAGUAACACAGCUCAAGGGAUAUUUGUCCAAGAAAGUAUUUCAUUUGGAGAUAGUAUUUCUGAAAGUCUGUUCAGUCUUAAAAUUGCUUCAAGCUUCUAAUUAUUUUAUAGCUUAAGUGAAAUUACUUCUUCAGAGGAAAAUAUUGGUUUCUUUUGCAUCUGUACUGUGAUGUAAUUUAAGAACCAGAAAAAUUGAACAUCAAAUAAAAAUUCAACACAAUUAAAUUCUGAUCCACAGCAGUAUUCAAACCUAACUUUUUAUAUCUGAGUAAUUUAAUUAUUUCCAUUGGCAGUGCUGUCUCAGCUGAGUUCUGUAUGUUGCUUACAACUAUAUACACAUCAAAAGAGAUAUUACACAUCAAAAGAGAUUAUUAAUAUCAUAUAAU